ACUAGCCUACGGGGUGCAGCAGUGAGGAAUAUUGGUCAAUGGGCGGGAGCCUGAACCAGCCACGUCGCGUGAGGGAAGACGGUGCUAUGGAUUGUAAACCUCUUUAGGCGGGGAGCAAUGCCGGGCACGUGUGCCCGGAGGGAGAGUACCCGCAGAAUAAGCAUCGGCUAACUCCGUGCCAGCAGCCGCGGUAAUACGGAGGAUGCGAGCGUUAUCCGGAUUUAUUGGGUUUAAAGGGUGCGUAGGCGGAUUUUUAAGUCAGCGGUAAAAUGUCCGGGCUCAACCCGGGCCGGCCGUUGACACUG
RNAcentral lists this ribosomal RNA (305 nucleotides) under uncultured bacterium. RNAcentral describes it as "bacterial SSU rRNA". It matches the Rfam family "Bacterial small subunit ribosomal RNA", at positions 333 to 635 of the family's 1533-position model. The record is from RNAcentral.